UUCUGGAAACUUACCCCAAGCCACAAAUCCACUUGUCAGUGUCCUUUGCACACUGGGGGAAACAAAAGGGUAACAGAUUUCCUGUCUUAGAGAAUUUGCACACCAAGAAACAGAGACACCGGUUCCAACGCUUCUUGCUGCCCGGAAAAGGCAUUUGUGAUGCUUAACUGGCUGCAUGGUGCUCAAUAACUCCAGAAGCUGAGCUCCUCAAACUUCUUCUUGUGGACUUGCUCACUGAGGACCAACAUUUUGGAUUUAAAGCCAUUUUGGCUGGGAGACAAUGCCACCGGCUGCUGCUUAUGGCUUAUGGAUUUCAGGAGAUUUACACUGCGACUGGAGACAGAACAGUGGUAGGAGCUGUGAGGGCAAUUCCUAUAUUUGAAUUCAACUGAGAUCUUUUAGAACACUAGGACCAAGGUGAGACCAGCACUUCAGAAGGUAUGUCUGCUUAAAAUCUCUAACUCUUUGGAGAGGAGUGGAAUGAUUGGGUAGAGCACUGGAUUUGGAUCUGCGACACCUGGGUUCCAUUCCCAAUCUGUCAUGACCCCUGUAUGAUCUUGGGCAAAUCACUUCACCUUCCGUGCCUCCAUUCCCCUUGCAUAUUUAGAUUGGAAUUUUCAAAGGAACAUAGAGUGGAGUGAAGAGACCAGAUGGCUCUGGAAUUUCAGGCUUCUUUGAAAACCUGGGUUUAGAUUGCAAUGAAUUUUGGGGCAGAGACUAUCUCUUCCUAUGUUUAUAUACAGUGCCAAGUACUAUAGGACCAUGAUCUAGGUUGGGACCUUUGGGUGCUACCAAUAUAAUAAUAACUAGGCUCUGCUUUAAUAAUAUCAAUGAAAUAGUCCCCCAGGGGUAUAAAAUGAUAUAGCUUCAUGGAAGUGCAUGGAAUGACACCAGCUGAGGCCCAAUGCACUUCAAUCAAAUGUUGAGCCUAAUGAGAAGUUGUCCUGAGUCUGUCUUUUCUCACAGGAGUUCCAAUGUGCUUAGGUUUUUGAUAUGAGGUGUGGCAUUGUG
Dermochelys coriacea (leatherback sea turtle) is the source of this 1011-nucleotide long non-coding RNA. RefSeq lists it as uncharacterized. The record is from RefSeq and is a predicted model, not a curated record. NCBI's taxonomy places the organism in Eukaryota, Metazoa, Chordata, Testudines, Dermochelyidae. The transcript has 3 exons.